GGCGACCCGGUCGUACCCGGUCCGUGACAGAGGUGCGCAGCGCCUUGGGACCCCUGGCGAGGAGAGGCUGCGACUGGCUGGCGCGGGCCGGGCCCAGGGCCCAGGGGCUGGCGGGAGAGACUCCCGCAUAUCCACUGGAGGCAUACUGCGCCAGCCACUCCGCAGCCAGCUUUCCAGAUUCCCGCGACCCUCUCUCGACUGUGCUGUGCAGGGGUGUGACUCUUCUCCAGCUAAGGAACUUUUCUCUGGUGGGAAGGACAGAAGUUCCUGAUGACCCCUGCUGUGUGGGCUGGUUGGCAUAGCUGGUAAUCAGGUCUGCCUAUGAAUAGGCUGUAGGGCUUUUUGAUCCUAGAAGCAAGGAAGGAGGAGAAAGUCGCACCAGAUCAGUACAGGUUGGUGUGAAACUUACCUGGAUAGACCUGUGGAGUAUAGUAGUGUAUACCAAAUGGCCUGGUUUCUUAGCCUCUCUCACUUUUAACAUCCUUUCCAUCAUCUAUGCUCCUAUUUGACAUAAAGAAAAGAGGGCAUUAGUGCCUGGGGAGGAUAUUGUUGGGCAUUAGUGGGAGUGUGUAAGGGAUAAAGUGAGGGAAUAGAGUUUUCUACUAUUCUACUUCUACCACACAAUCGAUCUCUAUUCUCUCAUGUCACAUGUGGCUGUCUGCAUAGAGAAACACAGUUGGAAGAGACUUACAGCUUGUUUUCUUCUUCCAUCUCAGGUCCAUCUCCAGUGGUGGCUGUAGUGGCCUUGGAGUGGCAGAUCAUCACCUUCAGCAGAUCUGCCAUCAGGAACUAUUAUUUUCCCUCGGGCUGAUUGCCUCUGUCUUCUCUCUGUAUUGUUGACAGAGGCUCUGUGUUUGGAAAGAGGACUGUGUGUCUUCUGAGCUCACCACUAACUCUUGCUACAAAGUUUAUGUCUGACCCAGUGGAAGAGUGUUAAGACUUUGACCGGGACACAUUCAGAACCAAGGCCAAGGUUAUAGUGCUAUC
Molecule: long non-coding RNA, 987 nt
Filed under: Suricata suricatta (meerkat)
Lineage: Eukaryota; Metazoa; Chordata; Mammalia; Carnivora; Herpestidae
Description: lncRNA (ENSSSUG00005014195.1)
Source: RNAcentral